AUGCAUCUCAAAACUAAGAAACGACUUAAAAAUUUGACCGUUGAAGGAGGAGAAACCUAUAUCAGUGCCUCCUCUCAUUCACACCCAUCUACGCUGAGAGAGAGAGAGAGAGAGAGAGAGGGGAAAGAGCUGAGUUGUACCCAGUACCUUGAUUUCAAUUCAAGAAGACCAAAGAAGAAUUUCGCAAAUGGCAUCAAGACCCACGGUUCAACAACAAGCCAGAGGAGUUUUGGUGCCAAACUACUUGCCACUGUGCAAGCACCAGCAGCUGCUGAAAACAACAUGAAACAAGCAUGUGCUAAUGUGGCUGGAGCUCCUCCUGUUGCUAAAGGAGUUGCGCUGGCCAAAAGAGCGGUGGCCCCCAAACCGGGUCAGAAGAAAGUGACUGUAAAACCUAAGUCUGAGGAAGUCAUUGACAUUGAUGCUAGUCCAGAUAAGACAAGAAAAAGGAAAAGAAAUCAUGCAGUCUUACUUCAGUAUUCACAGCUCGAAGCAAGGUCGCAUGCGGCAUAACUAACAAGCCGAAGGAUCAGAUUCUUGACAUCGAUGCUUCUGAUGUUGACAAUGAACUUGCUGCUGUGGAGUAUAUUGAUGACAUUUACAAGUUCUAUAAGCUUGUUGAGAACGAGAGCCACCCCCGUGACAACAUAGACUCACAACCUGAGAUAACUGAGAGGAUGAGAGCUAUACUAGUUGAUUGGCUGAUACAAGUCCAAACCAAGUUUGAACUUUCACUUGAGACCCUUUACUUGACAAUCAAUAUAGUUGAUUGGUUCCUGGCGGUUAAGAAUGUUCCAAAGAGGGAACUGCAAUUGGUUGGCAUCAGUGCUGUGCAGAUGGCAACCAAGUAUGAAGAAAUCUAUCCCCCUCAGGUUCAUAACUUUGUCUUCCUCUCAGGUAGGGCUUACACUCAUGAACAGAUACUGAUUAUGGAGAAAAUCAUACUGGCCAAGCUGGACUGGACUUUGACUGUGCCAAUACCUUUGGUUUUCCUACUUCGUUUUAUCAAGGCAUCAGUCCCAGAUCAGGAGUUGGAAAACAUGGCUCAUUUUCUGUCUGAGUUGGGAUUGAUGAAUUAUGCGACUGAAAUGUAUUGGCCAUCAAUGGUUGCUGCCUCAGCAGUCUUUGCAGCUAGAUGCACUCUGAAUAAGGCUCCCCUUUGGAAUGAGACACUUAAGCUGCAGACAGGUUACUCACAAGAACAACUUAUGUUCAUGGAAGAUGAUGCAUGUUUACUACGUCAAUUUCUUCAAAUCUUUUUCGGGUUAAAUGCAUGAAAUCCUUAUAUUUUGGUCGAAGAAUGAAAUCUCGUAAUAUUCUACUGAAAUGCUGGCUACACAAUUUUGGUUAUGCUUGUCCCCUCUGAGGUACACCAACAAAUCAUUAGCAAUUUCACACCACCAGGUCAGCUUUCUUUUACGAAAUCUUGCCUUACACGUAAUCUUUAAGGUAAGAGGGCUUUGUGAUGACCCUCUUAGCUUUUCCUUCUAUCUGCACCUCUGUUUUCUGCACUGGCACCAUUAAUUUCUGCACUUUGUCCUCAGCACCCUGUUGUUGAGCUUUUGUAUCAUCCUCCACCCCUUGAAAAAUCACCUUGUCCUCAAGGUGAUAAUCCUCCUUCAAUUGAGCCCAAUUUUCCCAUGAUGUCUCAUCUGGGGACAGUCCAUCCCACUGAACCAGCAGCUCUAGAGGCCCCUGAGCUGUAGUCCAAUGAGAGUCUAAGAUAGUCAAAGGCGUGAUCAAAGGUUGAUACUGGAUGAAUUGUUUCGGCCAGUGAACCUGUGGAACGGAUUUCGACAACCCUUUGGAAUGGUUUUAAUAAUGAACAAUGGAAAACAGGGUGUAUGCGAGCUUCUGUCGGUAACCUAAGACAAUAAGCAACAGACCCAAUGCGUUCCUCAAUUUGAAAUGGACCAUAAAACCGCUUCUCCAGUUUGCCCGUUAUGACCUAUGAUCCCUUUGCUGAAACUUGUCGAUGUGGCCUCAAUUUUAGCAUGACCCAAUUGCCUGUGCGGUAGACCACCUCUCUGCGUUUAGUAUCAGCUAUCAUCUUCAUGCGAACCUGAGCUUUCAGAAGCUUUUUGCGGAUAGCUUGAAAUGUGUUCUCUCUGUUAGUUAGCAAUUCAUCAACUGCGUCAAGAGUAGAGGAACCAGUGAUGUAAUCAGGGAAAUUAAACGACUUGCGAUCGAAGGUAACUUCAUAGGGGGUGGUGCCCGUUGUCGCGUUCCAAGCUGUGUUAUGAGACCAUUCCACCCACAGGAGGAGUUUGCCCCAUUCCUUUGGCUUUUGAUGCACAAAUGCUCUUAAGUAUUGCUCGAUGACUCUGUUCAAAGCUUCAGUCUGGCCAUCACUUUGUGGGUGAUAAGCUGAGCUCAUCCUGAGCUGCGUGCCACUGUGCCGAAAAAGUUCUUGCCAAAAUUUGCUAAUAAACAUGGGAUCAUGAUCCGAGACCAAGCUACGGGGAAGACAAUGUCCAUGAACAAGGAUGCCACGGUGUGAGCUGUCUGUGUAAUAGGGAGCAUGCCCAAGUGUAUCCCUUUUGAAAAUCUAUCCACUACGACCAAGUGUUGCCGUGAUAGGAGGGAAGCCGUGUGAUGAAGUCAAGGGAUAAGUCUUCCCAAGGGCGUUGAGGAACAGGUAGAGGACAUAAGAGGCUGGCAAGGCGCUUGGUCUCAUAUUUAGUGUGUUGACAGUCCAUGCACUGGGAUACGAACUUGGUGACAUCGUUCCUCAUUCCUGGCCACUCAAAAUUUUCCGACAAGCGUGCGAUGAUCUUGGUGAUGCCCAUGUGGCCUCGCGAUGGAUCUCCGGAGUUAAGCCAAAGAUAAAAAAGCUCAAUAGAAACGACGAGGGAAGACUGAUGAUGCGAUUUGCGAGGUCCUCGAACUCCGAUAGGUAAUGAGCAACAGAACCCCUCUGUGUCAAUUUGAAUAAUGCUCCCGUAGGAUCAUCGUACUGUGAUGGUGCAAAACGUGCUUGCAGGGCUUGGAGGAAGAUAGGCCAAGACGUGAACUGACCAUUCGAGGUCAUCCACUGGAAUCACGCCAGUGCUCUGCCUUCCAUGUAGAAGGAAGCAAUGGUGAGCCUCUCAGUUUCUGGUGUACGAUGAUAUUCGAAAAACUGAUUGAUUUUGAAAACCCAACCUAGGGGGUUCGUACCGUCAAACCGUGGGACAUCUAAUUUCAUGCGGUGUGUGUUUGUAGGGACAGUGGGGGAUGGUGGAAAGGACAUGGAUGGUGAGGCUGAGGCGGAGAGGGCGGGGGAGACACGGGUAAGUAGUUCCUCGAUUUUUUGGAUCAAGGAAUUCAUGGAUUCACCAAGGGAGGAUUGAUUUUGGGUAAGGCGGAAUAAAAUUUCAUCAGGUCAGUCAGGGGUACCCAUGGCUGUGCGUGAGUCAACACGAGAGCACCAAAAUUGAUACGCAAAAACAGAAAAGAAGCUGGAUACGAGGCUAGCACCUCCUGAAGAAAGGUAAGGAAAAUGAAGCUUUUGUAUUUCGUAUAUCUGAUCAUUACAAUUGCUUAAUUUUAUACUACUUCCUUGCUUAACAGAAUUCGUCAUUUACUGCCAAGAAAUAUUCUACUGAAAUGCUGGCUACACAAUUUUGGUUAUGCUUGUCCCCUCUAAGGUACACCAACAAAUCAUUAGCAAUUUCACACCACCAGGUUCAUGGAAGAUGAUGCAUCUUUAUUCCGUCAAUUUCUUCAAAUAUUGUUCGGGUUAAAUGCAUGAAAUCCUUAUAUUUUGGUCGAAGAAUGAAAUCUCGCUAUGUGGAGUUAGAAGUGAUGUCGCUAAUGCAGCGAAGGUGUUAUUUUGGAAAGCCAGAAAGGGCCUCUCAUUUGUAUUAACCUUUGAAUCAGAGAGAGACAGAAAUUCAGCCAUUAUGGUUGCCAGGAAAUAUGCUCUUGAUUGCAAUGUCGUGCUUGCCGGGCCAGAUGAUCUAGUGUAGGAGCAAAAAUUAACUGACUGAGCUUUUCCAACAAACGUGAGAUUUAUCAGAUUCUUGGUGUGAGUAUACGUGUGUGCUUGUUUUGUUAAAGAAAGAUAUGAUUUCAUCUGUGAUUGGGUUUUUCACUAAUUGAGUUGCAUUGUUUUAGGCAUGGUUUUUUUAUUUGCCUAAUCAUGUUGUACCGAACUCAACUUUUUUUAUAAUUAUUAGUUCAUUUGUUCAUUGUGGCUAA
RNA transcript from Glycine soja, 4182 nucleotides. It is a transcript of the gene named G2/mitotic-specific cyclin S13-6-like, with no coding region annotated. The transcript is spliced from 13 exons. Lineage: Eukaryota; Viridiplantae; Streptophyta; Magnoliopsida; Fabales; Fabaceae. The record is from RefSeq and is a predicted model, not a curated record.